This 196-nucleotide microRNA precursor is filed under the name Oryza sativa Japonica Group (Japanese rice). The record is from RNAcentral. Lineage: Eukaryota; Viridiplantae; Streptophyta; Magnoliopsida; Poales; Poaceae.
AGAGGAGAGAGAUGAAAUAUGAUAAGAGUCUGUCUAGAUAGCCAAGGAUGACUUGCCUGUGGCCUCUUGGAGAGAGAGGUGUAGCUUAAUUAGCAGCAUGGUUUGAGCAUUGCUUGAUCGGUUGAUCGCUUCGCUUGCUCUGCAUGAGAUCUUACAGGCAGUCUCCUUGGCUAGUCUGGGCGGCUCUUAUCCGUUC